Small nuclear RNA from Mirounga angustirostris (Northern elephant seal), 111 nucleotides. The record is from RefSeq and is a predicted model, not a curated record. Lineage: Eukaryota; Metazoa; Chordata; Mammalia; Carnivora; Phocidae.
AUACUAAAAUUGGAAGGCAGCACGUAUACUAAAAUUGGAACGAUACAGAGACGAUAAGCAUGGCCCCUGCACAAGGAUGACAUGCAAAUUCGUGAAGUGUUCCAAAACAAA